This 595-nucleotide long non-coding RNA is filed under the name Homo sapiens (human). RNAcentral describes it as "non-protein coding lnc-PIKFYVE-7:2". The record is from RNAcentral. Lineage: Eukaryota; Metazoa; Chordata; Mammalia; Primates; Hominidae.
CUCCUCCAUGGAACUUCUGUUGUCAUCCAGUGGCUGAAAUCAACUGGAAGCCUACAGGGAAAGACCUGCCUCCUGGGACACAGAGCAGCUGUUGAUAUCGAUGGAAUUCCUGACCAGUAACAUUUCCAUGAAGAUCAUUACAAUUUAUUUCUUGAAAUUCUGGGAAGGCAUGGAAACAUCACAUUGCAGCAGAUGCUGGGGAUGCAGCAAUGAACAAGACAGGCCAGAUCCCUACUCUCAGAUAAACACAAUGAUCCAGGUCAGUAGGCAUUUGGUAGGAAUCUGCAUCAAACUGUUGGGCAAUGGUAGACAGCAACAUUGACGUCUGUAAAUUUACACUUGGAUUCUUAGUUUCUGGUUGGCUGCAUCCUUCUUCUGAAGGCCACUGCUCUUUUCAGAAGACCUCCCUAGAUGGCUAAGCUCUCUGGGUUGCAACAGUUGCUCUUUUUCCUUGAGCCUUAGGUUAGGGAGUUGGGAGGAAGUAAUGGCUUCCCCCACUGCUAGCUCCAGGGUGCUACACUUUCUCUUUUCUAGUUUCCCUAAUCUGGCUUACACCAUUAUAGAUAGACCCUUUAUUAAAAUAUCCUCAAUUUAU